CCACUCGGCAGGACAUACAGAUAGCACCAGAACAUAGUGCUGCUUUUUUUGCCCUUGCUCUUGCUUCUGCUUUGCUUUUGCUUGCUCUUGCUCUUCUCCCUCUUCUCAUUAGUUAAUUUAGCUAAACAGUCCAAAUUCCUUCCUGGAUUGUUUCACCUCUCCUGUUUGGACCUACUGACCUGCUCCGGACUAGGACUUGGGAAACACCGAGAGAGAGUUUACACUGUGUGACCGCAGCAGCUGCCCAGCACCGGAGGGACUGAUAACAGCGACCACCCCCAGGAGAGACUUUCUGAAUUUGUCAUCUUUUUCAGAGUGGUGAAAGAGCGGUGUCAUCAGCUGACCUGAAAAUGGGCAUGGCAUGGCCAUUCCUGCGGUUUCCAUGGGCUUUUCCAAGCGGAUGUGGCUGUUCCAGCAGCUCCUCCACCAACACAUGUUGAGUGAUAAGCAACUCUGGGGAAAGACAACAAAUAAAGACAUCACAAGAACAAAUAUGGGACUGGUACUGAGAGAAAAUGUUCAAGAAAACAGAGCAAAAAAGUAGAAAGGAGGUCGAUACUAAGGACCUGAGGAGCCCUUUGAAGGACAGAGCAGUGUGGACAGCUUUGUCAGACAGGGUGAGAGAUGCCUCCUUUUUGUGCCUUUGGUUUUGGCACAGAAGGAAGACUCUGGAAGGAUGGAAGAAAUUAAUUAGUCUUUUUCCCUCUGAUACCACCACUUCUCCAGUCCUAGAAAAUUUGCUCAGAGUCAUGGACCUCUGCCUUGUUCCUGGUCAGAAGAUGAAGUCCUGCCCUGGGGACUCUGCAGCUGCUCCCAAGGGUGAAGGAGUGUAAAACACUGUAUAAGCAAUAAGAAAAAUAUCUUGCUGGUAAUAAUCAUAUGUUAAAAAAGCAACAAAAAAAUUCAAGCAAGUGUUUCUGGCAGUAAUGCACCUGUAUAAUGGAUUCCUGAUUUAUCUACCAUACCUGCUACUCACUUUCAGCUCUAGCAGGAAUCAAUAAUCCUUCAAACACAAUCUCCAUACAAAUUCUCCUCACAGGGACCACAUUCAUAACUAGUAUUUGUUUACAGUCAUAUUAUAGAGAUGUGAGUAAAAUUUAUUAUGGCACUCUGAAUAAAGCCUGUAGGCCACAUAAAACAAGUAUAACUCUCAGUUGUGUCACUUCCCAUAACUCAGGCUCUGAAAAGCAUGACAAGAUUCAUCAAUUCUUGUUAGUCCCAGUAUCAAAUAAUGUAUGAACAUAUGAAUAAAAAAAACCAAAAAUCCAGCUUGGUUUUGUACAUGCAAAGUACACACAGUCCUAAGAGCUUUAUUAAUUUAUUUUCUUUAUAAAAUCUUACUCAUUGUGGGCUCACUCUGGUUUCCUGAUGGAAACCAGUGGCAUAAUGUAAUUAUUUUAAGUGUGCCAGCAGUUUACUGAAAAUUAUGCUAUCAACCUGGGUUUACACUCAGUGUAAUCCUCCUGUUUAAUUUGAGGGUAUUUUUCCUGUCUUUUUAAACAUCUACAAAGAAAUGCAGGGAAGACUAUUAAUGACAUCUGCAGUAGCAAGGGAGUUGCCAACACUUUCCUUUCUUCAAAUCCAAUUGCAAGUUUGAGUCUACAGUCUUAACAUUCUGCUUCUUAAAAGCUGGUGGGUAUCUUGAGAGGUAUCCAAGGAAUCCCUAAAUGGUAUUACAACCAGGAAAAAUUAUCAGCCUCCAGCAUUUUGAGCUGGAGCAUAACAGUCAUUUUGUUUCCAUUAGAUAGAAGACAUAUCACAGAACUGAAUUGUUUAAAGCCACUAAACUCAAUCAGCCCACACAUUAUUCCAAAUCUGAAAAAAUCUAUGUUGCUUCAUGUUAAUGAAAUGUGCCAUAAUUCUGAUAUUUUUGUGGAAACACUGCUGUGGAAAUAAAGGUAAAAGAAUGCUGCAAUGAGACCCAGACUGGUUCUAAAAUGUAAGGGCUAUGUACUAGUAAAACACUAAUGCCACAUGGAAAGGACUGAAGAAAAAACACAUUUUUAAUUUAUUUAUCCUCUUCUAUAUGCACAGAGCUCACCAUCAGAACAGUUUGAUCAGAGUAUAAUGGAAAUAAAUGUAUUGUAUUAAUUCACCAAGCAUUUCCUAAUUAUGUGACACUGUCAGUAAGCUGUCUGCUUUUGCUGUAUUUGCUCGUUUUAAGUUCACACAAAGAAUUAUAAAUACAAAUGGUCUCUUUAUAUUCCUUCUCAGCAUUGUUUGGAUAUUACUGCUUUUACUCUAAGAACGUCAUCUUUUUGAAGAGAAUGCUUGUACCAUUCAUAUAUUUCACUGGGAGAAAGAUGAAUUAAUGUUAUUAUAAAAUUACUGGCAUGUGCUAUAAAAACAAGAUCAUCUAAUUUUGUGAUAAAUACAAUCUACAAGAGGGAAGAGAUAUAACUGUCUAUUUUCAUAUCAUGCUUUGAAACGGCAAUGGAAACAAUACUCUAAGAUGCUAGAUUUGCAGAUUUAAGGAAUAGAACUCCUCUGUCUGUGAAUAUGAUGGAGGGGGGAGAACCACCCUGUUUUCACAGUACUCCUCAUUUUUAUCCAAUUGAUUUCAUAGGAACUAUUGAUAGCCCUUUAACUGUUAUUGCUCUCCUGUAAAAUUAGACUAUCUAUAUGAAGGAUGAAAUUACAAGUGUUACAGAAUUAUUCACUAAGUCAUCUCCCCAGAAAUUAUUUUCUUGAUAGCAUGAGUUCUUGAGAUACACAAUUGCUUCAUUAAUUGCUCAUUUUUUUUACCCUUCAAUUUUCCUUGACUUUAUUUGGUGAGGUUCACAUUGAAGGAGGCCACUUCCUAAGGGCUCAUCCCACCAGCUGACCAGUUCUCUUUCUUUAUUGGCUUUUUCUGAAACACCCCCCAGGGGAGGCUCUGUAACUGCUGGUUUUGAGGUGCUUCUUGGUUCCAUACAAAACCUUUUGAGAUAAUGUGGAAUUAGGAGCAGCUGAUGGUGACAGAGCUUAGGAAAACUUGCAUUAAAAGUUUGUUGUGCACUGGUAAGCUCAUGAAAAAAAAAUCUUCUGUAGAGUUUUAAUCAAAGACUGAAUGACAAUCUAUUAGGGUACAUAUUUUGAAUAACUUGUUAAAUACCAUAAUGCUGGUCUAGCUGGAAAUGCUUAAGUAACUUUCUGACAGUUGCAGAGAAAUGCAGUAUAAUGAGUACAAA
Molecule: long non-coding RNA, 3170 nt
Organism: Haemorhous mexicanus (house finch)
Lineage: Eukaryota; Metazoa; Chordata; Aves; Passeriformes; Fringillidae
Exons: 3
Source: RefSeq, a predicted model, not a curated record